AGCAGCCGCGGUAAUUCCAGCUCCAAUAGCGUAUAUUAAAGUCGUUGCAGUUAAAAAGCUCGUAGUUGAACUUCGGGGUCUACCCAUUGGUCAGGCUUAAUUGUCUGCACUGGUGAGAUGGAUCUCUACCUUCUGAGGAACUUUCAUGCCAUUUAUUUGGUGUGAUGGGAAAUCAGGACUGUUACUUUGAAAAAAUUAGAGUGUUUAAAGCAGACUAUCGUCUGAAUACAUUAGCAUGGAAUAAUGAAAUAGGACGGACUGAUUCUAUUUCGUUGGUUUCUAGGAUCACCGUAAUGAUUAAUAGGGAUAGUUGGGGGCAUUAGUAUUCAAUUGUCAGAGGUGAAAUUCUUGGAUUUAUUGAAGACUAACUACUGCGAAAGCAUUUGCCAAGGAUGUUUUCAUUAAUCAAGAACGAAAGUUAGGGGAUCGAAGACGAUCAGAUACCGUCGUAGUCUUAACCAUAAACUAUGCCGACUAGGGAUCGGAUGAUGUUAAAUUAAUGACU
RNAcentral lists this ribosomal RNA (505 nucleotides) under uncultured Diversispora. RNAcentral's name for it is "SSU rRNA". It matches the Rfam family "Eukaryotic small subunit ribosomal RNA", at positions 569 to 1076 of the family's 1831-position model. Lineage: Eukaryota; Fungi; Glomeromycota; Glomeromycetes; Diversisporales; Diversisporaceae. The record is from RNAcentral.